GUGGGGAAUAUUGGGCAAUGGGCGAAAGCCUGACCCAGCGACGCCGCGUGAGGGAAGAAGGUCUUCGGAUUGUAAACCUCUUUCAGCAGGGAAGAAGGAAGUGACGGUACCUGCAGAAGAAGCCACGGCUAACUACGUGCCAGCAGCCGCGGUAAUACGUAGGUGGCAAGCGUUAUCCGGAAUUAUUGGGUGUAAAGGGUGUGUAGGCGGGACUUUAAGUCAGACGUGAAAAUCAAGGGCUCAACCCUUGACCUGCGUUUGAAACUGGAGUUCUUGAGAGUGGGAGAGGUAAACGGAAUUCCUGGUGUAGCGGUGAAAUGCGUAGAUAUCAGGAGGAACACCGGUGGCGAAGGCGGUUUACUGGACCACAACUGACGCUGAGACACGAAAGCGUGGGGAGCAAACAGG
Molecule: ribosomal RNA, 408 nt
Filed under: uncultured rumen bacterium
Lineage: Bacteria
Description: bacterial SSU rRNA
Rfam family: Bacterial small subunit ribosomal RNA
Source: RNAcentral